GGCUCAGUUGGUAGAGCAUGGUGCUUGCAACGCCAAGGCUGUGGGUUCAAUUCCCAU
RNAcentral lists this transfer RNA (57 nucleotides) under Salmo salar (Atlantic salmon). It matches the Rfam family "tRNA", at positions 9 to 63 of the family's 71-position model. Rfam says of the family: Transfer RNA (tRNA) molecules are approximately 80 nucleotides in length. Their secondary structure includes four short double-helical elements and three loops (D, anti-codon, and T loops). Further hydrogen bonds mediate the characteristic L-shaped molecular structure. tRNAs have two regions of fundamental functional importance: the anti-codon, which is responsible for specific mRNA codon recognition, and the 3' end, to which the tRNAs corresponding amino acid is attached (by aminoacyl-tRNA synthetases). tRNAs cope with the degeneracy of the genetic code in two manners: having more than one tRNA (with a specific anti-codon) for a particular amino acid; and 'wobble' base-pairing, i.e. permitting non-standard base-pairing at the 3rd anti-codon position. Lineage: Eukaryota; Metazoa; Chordata; Actinopteri; Salmoniformes; Salmonidae. RNAcentral also lists the same sequence under 1 other name. The record is from Rfam by way of RNAcentral.